Micropterus salmoides (largemouth bass) is the source of this 1574-nucleotide long non-coding RNA. RefSeq lists it as uncharacterized. NCBI's taxonomy places the organism in Eukaryota, Metazoa, Chordata, Actinopteri, Centrarchiformes, Centrarchidae. The transcript is spliced from 3 exons. The record is from RefSeq and is a predicted model, not a curated record.
CUUCAGCUCACUUGGAUGAUACUCUGAUGCGUGUGUCUCCCAGUGAGUUCCUGCUGCAGAAGACUUGAAUAAAAUGCACAGAAAGACAAGUCUUUGCCUAAGCUGUUUAUCUGAAAACUCGAAUUGGCAUCACAACCACCUAAAGUUUGCUAAUAGCGUAACUACUCAACGAAAUAAGGCUACAACAGCUGAGCUCCUGAGUAUAGCCUACUGAGCUGAAAAAAGUUUCUGUGGCAUAAGCUUUUUGAGGUUGCUAUCGUAGCACCCAGUCAUCAACCAUUUCUUGCUUCUGGAGGUUGUUGCAGCCUUACAGCGUGUCUCGGCCAGGAUGAAGAGGGUUUGAUCAGGAUGUGGCGCUGAACAUGUGGAGGAAAGGGACAAGUCAUCUCAUCACACUGUACUGCGCAGAGCUCAUUGACAACGUGUAACUGCGAUGAGAUAACACGGACCCUGAAGCAGGAUAAAUAACGCACUCCCUGAGGCAUCCUCACUUAUUCGAGCAUUCAUGUACUCGGAUGUCCAUCAGCAGAUGAUUUAAUAAACCUACAGAGAGACAAGUGUUUGCUUCAAGUUGUUUAUUUCAACUCCCACCACAAGUGAAAAUUAAGUACAUGUACUCAAGAAUUGUGCUUAAGUACAAUUCUGAGGUACUUCUUAGAUAUUUAUAUUCAUUUAAAGUAAUAAUAAUCCAUAAUAUAACACUGAGAGGGGCCGUUCCGCAUAAUGAGUACUUUUCAUUUUCAUACUUAAAGUACAUUUUCCUGCUAUUACUUCUGUUCUUUUACUUAAGAGAAAUUAUUAAUGCAGUAUUUUGACUUGAAAUGGAGAAUUUUUGCAUUGCUGUAUUGUUGCUUUAAAGAUACUUCUUCUACCACUAUUCCAGAGUUUUAAAGUAAUCUGCUUUUACUGUUUGAUGCAUAAAAUGCACUUUAUAAAUGGAGUUGCACUCAUGAGCCUGUGACAGUCUCUGUCUGACAUAAACUAAGGCUAAGUGUUAAAUUAAGUGUUGUUCUCAUUCAGCAAGCACAGACAUCUGUUUCACUCCACACUGGGAGGAGGAAAAGGGAACUGCAACUCUGUUUUCCGCAGAGCUUCAACCUCUUUGUGAUGUAAGUGGUUUGUGCAAACUGCGGUUUGGUUCCCAGGUCCGAGUGCCGAGACAAUCCGGGGAAUGGGAGAUUUUUUCACGUGAACCCCAGAGAGUGCGACAGCAGCUCACCUGUCACUCGUCCUCGCUGUUGGGAGUCCACAUGCUUCCAUGAACUCAACACUGAUGUGCUCUGACCCUCACACGCCUGCUCUCACAGAAACAACACAUUCAGGCCGUGUGCAUCACAAAAGCUCUGUGAACCGUGAAAAAUAACAGAAAGUCACAUUGUUUUGCUCUUUGACCUCUUGUUGCUGAAUGCUGUUAUUGUCAGUAUGAUCUGAGCGUUUAUAUGUACUAAUGUUACUGUUAUGUAACUGAUAUGUUUAAUGUGAUAGUAUAUUUUUAUUUUAGGCAUUAAAAAGCUUUGUUAUGUUAUACAAUCUGAAAGGAAGUAGACAAAAUAAAGGAACCACUGUAAAUCUUC